UACGAAGGGGGCUAGCGUUGCUCGGAAUGACUGGGCGUAAAGGGCGCGUAGGCGGAUGGCACAGUCAGAUGUGAAAUUCCUGGGCUUAACCUGGGGGCUGCGUUUGAUACGUGCGGGCUUGAGUUCGGAAGAGGGUCGUGGAAUUCCCAGUGUAGAGGUGAAAUUCGUAGAUAUUGGGAAGAACACCGGUGGCGAAGGCGGCGACCUGGUCCGAUACUGACGCUGAGGCGCGAAAGCGUGGGGAGCAAACAGG
This 253-nucleotide ribosomal RNA is filed under the name uncultured bacterium. RNAcentral describes it as "partial 16S ribosomal RNA". It matches the Rfam family "Bacterial small subunit ribosomal RNA", at positions 524 to 776 of the family's 1533-position model. The record is from RNAcentral.